CCACCAGACAUCCGAGUGCGUGGUGAAGAUUCCAUCUUUGAGGGACUCGGGGGCCAUCCAGCGCACGGGCAGCAGCCCCUUCCCGCCCUUGCGGCUGCCCCAUGCCCACCCGGCACCGUCUGUACCCCCGAUCUUGACAGUGAAGUCCUGGGACACCAUGCAGUUCCGGGCCGCCAGAUCGCGGUGCACAAACUUGUUGGCAGCGAGAGGCUUCCUUGAGGAACUCGAUGCGUUCUCGUGGACUGGCCAGCUCAUUGACGGUCUUCAGGGCCACGGGUGUGGACUCCUCUCCGGCCUCUAGCCCUUGUGCCAGCCCCUCGUAUACCAUCCCAAAGGAGCCCUGGCCCAGUUCCCGGAUUAUGGAGAUCUGCUCCCGAGGCACCUCCCACUCAUCAGGGACGUACACUGAGAGGAGCCCCAGGGCAUCUGGCACCAACCAACCAGGGCGCUUGGUGAGGUCUCCUAUCUCUUCCCCUGCUUUCUUGGCUGAGAACACGGUGACCAAAUGAACACUCCCAGUGCGCCCAGACUAGGGAGUCCCCGGAAGGAAGACCUGCACUGGUAACAUCAGGGAAAUUUGGUCCCUCAGACUGAAAGGUGGUCUCCUCCAUGCUGCC
Long non-coding RNA from Lontra canadensis (Northern American river otter), 617 nucleotides. RefSeq lists it as uncharacterized. Lineage: Eukaryota; Metazoa; Chordata; Mammalia; Carnivora; Mustelidae. The record is from RefSeq and is a predicted model, not a curated record. The transcript is spliced from 4 exons.